GUGGCGGGGUUGCCUAUACAUGCAGUCGAGCGGACCGACGGGAGCUUGCUCCCUUAGGUCAGCGGCGGACGGGUGAGUAACACGUGGGUAACCUGCCUGUAAGACUGGGAUAACUCCGGGAAACCGGGGCUAAUACCGGAUGCUUGAUUGAACCGCAUGGUUCAAUCAUAAAAGGUGGCUUUUAGCUACCACUUACAGAUGGACCCGCGGCGCAUUAGCUAGUUGGUGAGGUAACGGCUCACCAAGGCGACGAUGCGUAGCCGACCUGAGAGGGUGAUCGGCCACACUGGGACUGAGACACGGCCCAGACUCCUACGGGAGGCAGCAGUAGGGAAUCUUCCGCAAUGGACGAAAGUCUGACGGAGCAACGCCGCGUGAGUGAUGAAGGUUUUCGGAUCGUAAAACUCUGUUGUUAGGGAAGAACAAGUACCGUUCGAAUAGGGCGGCACCUUGACGGUACCUAACCAGAAAGCCACGGCUAACUACGUGCCAGCAGCCGCGGUAAUACGUAGGUGGCAAGCGUUGUCCGGAAUUAUUGGGCGUAAAGCGCGCGCAGGCGGUUUCUUAAGUCUGAUGUGAAAGCCCCCGGCUCAACCGGGGAGGGUCAUUGGAAACUGGGGAACUUGAGUGCAGAAGAGGAGAGUGGAAUUCCACGUGUAGCGGUGAAAUGCGUAGAGAUGUGGAGGAACACCAGUGGCGAAGGCGACUCUCUGGUCUGUAACUGACGCUGAGGCGCGAAAGCGUGGGGAGCGAACAGGAUUAGAUACCCUGGUAGUCCACGCCGUAAACGAUGAGUGCUAAGUGUUAGAGGGUUUCCGCCCUUUAGUGCUGCAGCAAACGCAUUAAGCACUCCGCCUGGGGAGUACGGUCGCAAGACUGAAACUCAAAGGAAUUGACGGGGGCCCGCACAAGCGGUGGAGCAUGUGGUUUAAUUCGAAGCAACGCGAAGAACCUUACCAGGUCUUGACAUCCUCUGACAACCCUAGAGAUAGGGCUUC
RNAcentral lists this ribosomal RNA (998 nucleotides) under Bacillus licheniformis. RNAcentral describes it as "bacterial SSU rRNA". It matches the Rfam family "Bacterial small subunit ribosomal RNA", at positions 36 to 1015 of the family's 1533-position model. Lineage: Bacteria; Bacillati; Bacillota; Bacilli; Caryophanales; Bacillaceae. The record is from RNAcentral.